GGUAAAACAUUGAGUGAGAAAAAUAGCUUAUAGCUGAUGCAGACCUUCUUUGUGUAUUAGUUGAUACAAUGCACACAAUGCAAACAACUUGGUUAUUUUUAAUCCUUUAUAUGGUAUUUAAACUAUUUAUUUCAACCCAGGCAUUUUCAGUGGGUAGAGAACCAUCCGAUGGGAUAACAUUGGAGGAAUGUUGUGAAAAUUGCAAUUGUCAAUUUUGUCCGGCCUAUUAUGGAUGUACAAAUGAUAUCUCUUUGAUCAGGUUGAUGCAUCCGUUUUCAACCCCAAGAAUGAAAAUUGGGUUAAUUUUACACAAAAUAUCAAUUAAGAGAAUAUAGUAUGACGCCAGUUCAAGAAAUAUGCAGUUAAUUUUAAAACAAUUAUUCUUAUACAAAAUGCCAGAAAUUAUGUUAAUUUGCACAAUAAAUUUUCAAUACAUUCAACAA
Saccostrea cuccullata (small rock oyster) is the source of this 443-nucleotide long non-coding RNA. RefSeq lists it as uncharacterized. The record is from RefSeq and is a predicted model, not a curated record. NCBI's taxonomy places the organism in Eukaryota, Metazoa, Mollusca, Bivalvia, Ostreida, Ostreidae. The transcript has 2 exons.